ACGAACGCUGGCUGCGUGCUUAACACAUGCAAGUCGAACGGAAAGGCCUUUUCGGAGGUACUCGAGUGGCGAACGGGUGAGUAACACGUGGGUGAUCUGCCCUGCACUCUGGGAUAAGCCUGGGAAACUGGGUCUAAUACCGGAUAGGACCGCACUUUAGUGUGUGUGGUGGAAAGUUUUUUCGGUGUAGGAUGAGCCCGCGGCCUAUCAGCUUGUUGGUGGGGUAAUGGCCUACCAAGGCGGCGACGGGUAGCCGGACUGAGAGGUUGGUCGGCCACAUUGGGACUGAGAUACGGCCCAGACUCCUACGGGAGGCAGCAGUGGGGAAUAUUGCACAAUGGGCGCAAGCCUGAUGCAGCGACGCCGCGUGGGGGAUGACGGCCUUCGGGUUGUAAACUCCUUUCGCCAGGGACGAAGCGUUUUGUGACGGUACCUGGAGAAGAAGCACCGGCUAACUACGUG
Molecule: ribosomal RNA, 462 nt
Filed under: uncultured bacterium
Lineage: Bacteria
Description: partial 16S ribosomal RNA
Rfam family: Bacterial small subunit ribosomal RNA
Source: RNAcentral